Molecule: long non-coding RNA, 382 nt
Filed under: Homo sapiens (human)
Lineage: Eukaryota; Metazoa; Chordata; Mammalia; Primates; Hominidae
Description: PRKAG2 antisense RNA 1
Source: RNAcentral
AUGCCUGUGCCCAAGUGGGGAAUCUGGAACCAGUAAGCCCGUUCGUGCAUAAAUGUAAUCCUCGGCCGCAGAAUAAACCAGCUCGGAGCCUGCAGCUGGGUUCAUCAAGGUUUGCGCAGUGGAUCCGCGAAUGAAGCCAGCCUGGAAGAUCCCCAGUCUCGAGACAGAGCCUGACAGGGGCAGAUGCACUGGAAGGACCCUGUCUGGGUUUAGCAACCAAGCAGCCAUCCUGGCCCCACAGGUGUGGGACUUCUGGGUCUUCUCCUGGCUGGCUUCUUGCUAGAGGAUUUCAAGAGACCCAGCAAGACUGUAUUGUCCCACUGAAUGCUCAAGAUAUUGGUUAGAAGUAGAAAAGGGGAGGGGGUAGUAUUUAGCCUCUGUC